UGUUCUGAGAGAACAAUAAUUAUCGCUUGACGAAUCGCCAUGUAAAUGGAUAAUGAAGGUAUGGUGCUUUUUUGCUCAUAAAAUAUUUAUCAUUCAAACGGAUUAGAAAAGUACUAUUGUUGAACUUAUUGGGUAAAUUUCUUAGAAAAUUUAUUGAUUUAUUUCUCGAGCAAAUUUGUUUCAACAAAUGCAUUCGGAUCUCUAAUAUAAUAUUUUUUUUUAUUUAGAUUUAAUUUAUGUUCAAAUGUUAUCUGGCAUACCCGCUACGGUUUAUGUACCUUGUGACGCACAAAGAAAGUGACAGUUUGCCGAUAACCACCACUCGAGCAAGUGGCGUUUUUGUGUGGCCACGAUGGCCGCUGCCGGCUGACCGGUACAAUCGGAUUGAAUUCACCGAAGUUAAACAAACCAGAAAUCUCGUUGUGGUCCAAAUAUCUUUAAUUCAACUCCGGCAAAACACGAAGCUUAUGUAAGAUUGGCCGUGGCUGCAGGAAGACCACGGGCUAUGUCCCGGUGGCCACGUCAAGGCGUAUGGUGCCGGAUGGCCAAGUCGUCGAUUAUUCUGAGCACGGUCACCAGGCCGGAUUUGAUGCGGCUGGAGGUGACUGCUUCGAGUUUGCUGAGCCAACGACAAACAGUUACGCAUAUGGACCACCGCGGAAAUAUAAAAGGAAGACAAGUGAAUAGUGUUGAAGUGCAUUAUUGUAUAUUGUGAAAUAAUGUGAAUAAAAUUUAUAAAUUUGA
Molecule: long non-coding RNA, 744 nt
Organism: Culex pipiens pallens (northern house mosquito)
Lineage: Eukaryota; Metazoa; Arthropoda; Insecta; Diptera; Culicidae
Exons: 2
Source: RefSeq, a predicted model, not a curated record